CAGUAGCCGCGGUAAUACGUAGGUGGCAAGCGUUGUCCGGAAUUAUUGGGCGUAAAGGGCUCGCAGGCGGUUUCUUAAGUCUGAUGUGAAAGCCCCCGGCUCAACCGGGGAGGGUCAUUGGAAACUGGGAAACUUGAGUGCAGAAGAGGAGAGUGGAAUUCCACGUGUAGCGGUGAAAUGCGUAGAGAUGUGGAGGAACACCAGUGGCGAAGGCGACUCUCUGGUCUGUAACUGACGCUGAGGAGCGAAAGCGUGGGGAGCGAACAGGAUUAGAUACCCCUGUAGUCCCUGUCUCUUAUAA
This 301-nucleotide ribosomal RNA is filed under the name uncultured bacterium. RNAcentral describes it as "partial 16S ribosomal RNA". It matches the Rfam family "Bacterial small subunit ribosomal RNA", at positions 509 to 809 of the family's 1533-position model. The record is from RNAcentral.